UACGUAGGGGGCAAGCGUUGUCCGGAUUUAUUGGGCGUAAAGAGCGUGUAGGCGGUUUGGUAGGUCCGUUGUGAAAACUCGAGGCUCAACCUCGAGACGCCGGCGGAAACCAUCAGGCUAGAGUCCGGAAGAGGAGAGUGGAAUUCCUGGUGUAGCGGUGGAAUGCGUAGAGAUCGGGAAGAACAUCAGUGGCGAAGGCGGCCUGCUGGGCUGUUGCUGACGCUGAGGCGCGACAGCGUGGGGAGCAAACAGG
Molecule: ribosomal RNA, 253 nt
Filed under: uncultured bacterium
Lineage: Bacteria
Description: partial 16S ribosomal RNA
Rfam family: Bacterial small subunit ribosomal RNA
Source: RNAcentral